RNAcentral lists this ribosomal RNA (1021 nucleotides) under uncultured bacterium. Its description in RNAcentral is "bacterial SSU rRNA". It matches the Rfam family "Bacterial small subunit ribosomal RNA", at positions 355 to 1375 of the family's 1533-position model. The record is from RNAcentral.
UGGGGAAUAUUGCACAAUGGGCGAAAGCCUGAUGCAGCGACGCCGCGUGAGGGAUGGAGGCCUUCGGGUUGUAAACCUCUUUCGCUCAUGGUCAAGCCGCGACGUGGGUUGUGGUGAGGGUAGUGGGUAAAGAAGCGCCGGCUAACUACGUGCCAGCAGCCGCGGUAAUACGUAGGGCGCGAGCGUUGUCCGGAAUUAUUGGGCGUAAAGGGCUUGUAGGCGGUUGGUCGCGUCUGCCGUGAAAUUCUCUGGCUUAACUGGGGGCGUGCGGUGGGUACGGGCUGACUUGAGUGCGGUAGGGGAGACUGGAACUCCUGGUGUAGCGGUGGAAUGCGCAGAUAUCAGGAAGAACACCGGUGGCGAAGGCGGGUCUCUGGGCCGUUACUGACGCUGAGGAGCGAAAGCGUGGGGAGCGAACAGGAUUAGAUACCCUGGUAGUCCACGCUGUAAACGUUGGGCACUAGGUGUGGGGGCCACCCGUGGUUUCUGCGCCGUAGCUAACGCUUUAAGUGCCCCGCCUGGGGAGUACGGCCGCAAGGCUAAAACUCAAAGGAAUUGACGGGGGCCCGCACAAGCGGCGGAGCAUGCGGAUUAAUUCGAUGCAACGCGAAGAACCUUACCAAGGCUUGACAUGCACGGCGGCACUGCAGAGAUGUGGUGGCAUUUGGUUGGUCGUGUGCAGGUGGUGCAUGGUUGUCGUCAGCUCGUGUCGUGAGAUGUUGGGUUAAGUCCCGCAACGAGCGCAACCCUUGCCCUAUGUUGCCAGCACGUGAUGGUGGGGACUCGUGGGGGACUGCCGGGGUUAACUCGGAGGAAGGUGGGGAUGACGUCAAAUCAUCAUGCCCCUUAUGUCUUGGGCUUCACGCAUGCUACAAUGGUUGGUACAGAGGGUUGCGAUACUGUGAGGUGGAGCGAAUCCCUUAAAGCCAGUCUCAGUUCGGAUUGGGGUCUGCAACUCGACCCCAUGAAGGUGGAGUCGCUAGUAAUCGCAGAUCAGCAACGCUGCGGUGAAUACGUUCUC